AUGUUUUGUGAUAGCUCACAUAACUGGAGUGCUGUCAUGGAUGGCUAUGUGCUUUUUAGGAAAGACAGACCAGGAAAGCGAGGUGGUGGGGUUGCUCUUUAUGUGAGAGAGCAACUGGAAUGUAUUGAGCUGUGCCUAGGGGUGGAUGAAGAGCGAGUCGAGAGCUUAUGGGUAAGGAUUAAAGGGCAGGCUARCAUGGGUGACACUGUGGUGGGUGUUUACUACAGGCCACCUGAUCAGGAAGAGGAAGUCGAUGAGGCCUUCUACAAACAGCUGGAAGUAGCCUCACGAUCCCAGGCCCUGGUUCUUAUGGGGGACUUCAAACACCCCGAUAUCUGCUGGAAAGACAACACAGCUAGGCACAAACAGUCCUGGAGGUUCCUGCAGAGCAUUGGUGACAACUUCUUGACACAGGUGGUGGAGGAGCCAACAAGGAGAGGUGUGCUGCUGGACCUCGUACUAACAAACAAAGAAGGACUGGUGGAAGAUGUGAAGGUCGGGGGCAGCCUUGGCUGCAGUGACCAUGAGAUGGUGGAGUUCAGGAUCCUGCGAGGAGGCGGCAGGGCACUAAGUAGGAUCGCAACCCUGGACUUCAGGAGAGCAAACUUUGGCCUCUUCAGGGACCUGCUUGGAGGAAUCCCAUCGGUUAGGGCCCUAGAAGGAAGGGGCGUUCAAGAGAGCUGGUUAAUAUUCAAACAUCACCUCCUCCAGGCUCAAGAGCGGUGCAUCCCUAUGAGUAGGAAGUCAAGCAAAGGAGGCAGGAGACCUACAUGGAUGAGCAAGGAGCUCCUGGCAAAACUCAACCAGGAGAAGGAAGUCUACAGAAAGUGGAAAGGAGGACAGGCCACUUGGGAGGAAUAUAGGAACGCUGUCAGAGUAUGCAGGGAUGCGAUGAGGAAGGCUAAGGCCCGUUUGGAAUUAAAUCUGGCAAGGGAUGUCAAGGACAACAAGAAGGGCUUCUUCACUACAUCAGUAGCAAGAGGAAGACUAGGGAAAAUGUGGGCCUGCUGCUGA
RNAcentral lists this long non-coding RNA (1014 nucleotides) under Apteryx haastii (Great spotted kiwi). RNAcentral describes it as "lncRNA (ENSAHAG00000014290.1)". The record is from RNAcentral. Lineage: Eukaryota; Metazoa; Chordata; Aves; Apterygiformes; Apterygidae.